Canis lupus familiaris (dog) is the source of this 1377-nucleotide long non-coding RNA. RefSeq lists it as uncharacterized. Lineage: Eukaryota; Metazoa; Chordata; Mammalia; Carnivora; Canidae. The record is from RefSeq and is a predicted model, not a curated record. The transcript has 3 exons.
UCCCUAAGCUUCCAGUUGGCCUCCUGGAACGCUAGUCCCCAUCAAUCGGCCUCUUUCCGCACUGUUCUCCUGUUCUCCGUAACUGACAGCUCCAUCCUCCAUGACUCAGCUUUUCUGUUUCCCAUCACUUGGCCUCUCCAUCCCCCUGUCACUCGGUCUCUACGACCAUCAGGCUGUGUGUCUGGUUCUUAGAACCUGUGGCGCCCCCCCUCCUCUCCCAGCAAUCAGCCUCCCCCUGCCUCAUUGCUCAGUCUCUCCACCCCUCCUCACUGCCGCUUUCCCCUACUCCCCCAAACCCCUCCCCUCUGUCUCUCCCAGUUCCUCACCCUGGCAGCCGGCUCCGUGGGGCUGCAGCCUGGUACCCAGCGGGGCACACGCACAGGAAGCUGCCCGGCGUGUUCUCGCACCGCCCGCGGUCACACGGCGGGGGCACGCGGUGGCACUCGUCCACGUCUGCAGGCACCAACCCGGAGGGUAGCCAUUCAUCCCUGCUUGUGGUAACAGUACCCUGAUUCGCCUUCCAGAAACUCCUCCAGUCUGUCAACAUGGGGCUGAUUUCACCUCCUGGCGUGUGAGGGCAGGUGACCCUUGGAACAGUGGAAGGCCUCCAUCACAUGCGCUACAGUGAUUGGUUCAGGGGACAGCCAUCUGACUAAAUUCAAGCCACUAAGAAUCAGUCAUGUGAUUUUUAUUAUUAUUAUUAUUAUUAUUAUUUUUUGCUGCUGCUGCUAGAGAAAGAGAAAAAAAAAGAAGUUGCUAAGGAGGUACCUGGAGUCAUCUUGGCACCCAGAAGGGAAAACCUGACUGAGAAUGAUGCAUCCCAGAGGCAGGCAAACCCAGAAGAUGGAAAGACAUUCUGGAAGAGUUUUUGAAUCCCUGGAUCCAACUAUGCCUGAAGCCAGGGGACAUGACCCAGCUGGUAUCGUGCCUUCUUCCUCUGACCACCGCCACCCCCCACCUUGGCCCCCCUGCUGGAUGGGACCGUCCUCACCGCUGACCAGUGGAUGAAAGGCGUACAAAGAGCUGGCUGGCGCUUGGCACCACCUUCUGAAUGAACACUUGCUGGUCAUCCCGCUCGCCGUAUGGGCCUGGGCCAGGACAGUGUUGGGGGUGGGAGUCAGGGCCACCUGGGUAGCCUGCGACUCUGGGCCCCAAGGCUCUGCCUCCUUCCCCACGGAUGAAUCCCUCUCAGGACCCUACGUCCCCAUUCCCAGGUUUCUGGAAUUGGGCGAGCUCCAAGAAGAUUGGGGGUCAGCCACCGGUCAGCGGAGUUCAGGGAUGUGGGGUGGGGGUCCUGGAUCAGGUGGCAGUCAGAGGAAUUGAUGGGGUAACAGAAUUCAAUGGUGGGGUGGGGCAGCUGGGAGUGAAUGGACGUCA